RNAcentral lists this ribosomal RNA (481 nucleotides) under uncultured Flammeovirgaceae bacterium. RNAcentral describes it as "bacterial SSU rRNA". It matches the Rfam family "Bacterial small subunit ribosomal RNA", at positions 28 to 505 of the family's 1533-position model. The record is from RNAcentral. Lineage: Bacteria; Pseudomonadati; Bacteroidota; Cytophagia; Cytophagales; Flammeovirgaceae.
GAUGAACGCUAGCGGCAGGCCUAAUACAUGCAAGUCGAGGGGUAACAGGGAAGCUUGCUUCCGCUGACGACCGGCGCACGGGUGCGUAACGCGUAUGCAACCUACCUAUUACUGGGGGAUAGCCCGAAGAAAUUCGGAUUAAUACCCCAUAGUACAAUUUGAUAGCAUUUGAAGAUUGUUAAAACUCCGGUGGUAAUAGAUGGGCAUGCGUAAGAUUAGAUAGUUGGUGAGGUAACGGCUCACCAAGUCGACGAUCUUUAGGGGGUCUGAGAGGAUGAUCCCCCACACUGGAACUGAGACACGGUCCAGACUCCUACGGGAGGCAGCAGUAGGGAAUAUUGGUCAAUGGAGGAAACUCUGAACCAGCCAUGCCGCGUGCAGGAAGACGGCCUUCUGGGUUGUAAACUGCUUUUAUUAGGGAAGAAACGCUCCUUGCGAGGAGAACUGACUGUACCUAAAGAAUAAGCACCGGCUAACUCCG